CACUCCUUGAUUAAAAAUUUUUAUAAGGAGCCCUGCCUGCCCAGUGACCUUGUUAAACGGCCGCAGUAUUUUAACUGUGCAAAGGUAGCAUAAUCAUUUGCCUCUUARAUGGAGGCUGGUAUGAAUGGCAAGACGGAAUUUAACUGUCUCUUUUCUUUACCUUUAAAUUAUUAUUUUUGUGAAGAAACAAAAAUAGAAUCGCAGGACGAGAAGACCCUAUUGAGCUUAAAUUAAAAUAAUAAAAAUUUAAACUAAAAUUUUUAAUUAAUUCAAAUACUUAGACUAUUAAUUAAUUUUAAUUAAAAUUUUUAUAAAACUUAUUAUUAAUAUUUUGAUUGGGGCAAUCAUGGAGCCAAAACAACCUCCACUAUAUUUUAAUUAACAAAAAAUAACAAUUUUAAUAUUUUUUAUAAAUAUUUUAAUGACCCACUUA
This 433-nucleotide ribosomal RNA is filed under the name Xyloplax janetae. Its description in RNAcentral is "partial 16S ribosomal RNA". The stretch from base 1 to 192 matches the Rfam family "Archaeal large subunit ribosomal RNA", at positions 1911 to 2146 of the family's 2987-position model. The record is from RNAcentral. Lineage: Eukaryota; Metazoa; Echinodermata; Asteroidea; Peripodida; Xyloplacidae.